CUGCUUGUUUGCUUUACUUUGUCUGCAACUGCCAAGGAGUUUGUAGUUUUCCUGUGUUCUUUGCCUUUAAACCUCCCUUUAAAUGCAUUCAAGGCUGCUCUGUGAGAAGUGUUUUCCUGCUUGUAGUUACUGUUCUGCUUAAUACAGACUCUCAGUUUGGAUUUUGAGCUUGCUGAGUGCAGCUUGGAUCUCUGCGAUGCAAGAAGUACACAGCUGGAAUAUGAGAAGAAAUGAAGAAAAGAAGGACAUAAUGCAGAAGGAGAGACAAAAGAAAAGAAAAGAAAAGAAAAGAAAAGAAAAGAAAAGAAAAGAAAAGAAAAGAAAAGAAAAGAAAAGAAAAGGAAAGAAAAGAAAAGAAAAAAGAAAAACAACACAAAAGGAUAUACGGAUCAGUAUGUAUUUGGGUGCAUCCAUGAAUGUUCUCAGCUGACCAAAGCCACACCCCUGGUACGAGAAAACUACAGUAAAACAUCAUAUGCCCUCUCAUAAGACAGCUUCUAGCAAAACAUCACAAGAUUCAACUGAGUCUUCAAAAAAACCCAGAAACUUCCACUUCAGAGUUUCUUCCUGUAUGUAUCUAGGUUUGUACCAAGAUGAUUAAAGCACUAGGAUAUUUGACAGUUUGUCAAUCUGAAACCAAUACAGUAGAAAAACAUUACAAUACAGGAAAUUUAAGUCACAUGUUUCCAUACAAUCUUUCCAUAAUGAGAGCAAAACCAAUUAGCAUGUGGUGUGCAGUUUCUCAAAUUGGAGAAGGCAGCUUGUAAGAAAGUCUGAGGUUGUUUUAUUAGCCAAUUGGUCAUCAAACCAAAAGCCUCAGAAUUUUUACUGUAUUUUCUCCUACAAGUUGUUUAACAUAGCAUAAAUUUUCUUUAUUUUUUCUUGCUUUCCUACAAGUUCUCUCAAAUACAUAAAAUCUGAUCUUAUGAGAAUGUGGGUAAUUAGAAACAAAUGAUAAAAAGAAGAAGAGGAAGAGGAGGAAGAAGAAGAAGAGUCAGUCAGUUGGGAGAAAUGUUUAGGCCAGAACAUCUGAGUUGAUCCAGCUAUCAAGAGUACAGAAAGAGCUAGAAUUCUAGGAUUGGGAAGGGCUCCCAUCUAAGGAGAUAAAAACAUUCACACCAAACAAGCAAUGCUAUUGCCAAACCUAUUAGUCUCCACAAAAUGAUGAGGCCCUAACACUAACACCUACAUAACUCACUGAAGCUGGAGGAGCAAAGCUGAUGACUCUAUGCCUCUCUGAGUCUUUAUUGAGUAGUUCUCAGCAUACUGAAAGGAACUAUGCAUAUCCUCAGAGAAGAAAGACAAACACCAACCCAGCAGCAAACCAUUUAUCUGCAAUGUUGGCCUGCCUGCAUGAUACCCUGGUGUAAUGAUAGUACAAAAAGUUACAGGAGCAACCAAUGACUAUCUGAGUGGAAUUAUGUCCAAUUCCAUAAGAUGGAAUCUCUGCCCAACAUUGUGUGGCAAAGAACCUGAGACUAGACAGGCCCUGGACUUAAAGGUAAAACAAUUUAUUUCUAAUAUCAGAGAUCAGACCUCUACUCUUGCCUGAUGCGUCUAAAACAAAAAGGGGGAACUGUAGAGAGCUGCAUAAUGCCGUGCCUUAAAGAAGGAGCUGGUUUCCGCCUUCCACCUUCCCGAUGGUGAGUGCUCUCUGUCACAAACAACUCCACAUUUGGCUAAGGCUGGGGAUCUGGCUUGCUUCUGUGUAUGUGGACCUAUCUGCAUUGCCCACGAGGCACGCUGGGGUUGGCUACCCAGAGGCUAUUUAAAGUGGGCUGGCUUUCCCCAGGGUCAGAUGAUUGUUCAAGGUUCCUGAAUAAACUGCAUUGAGAAAAAAAAAAAAAAGGUAAAACAAAUGUUAUAGCAAUGCUAAAGUCAUGUAACAAUAAAAUGACCUAUGAUGACAUUCUACUGGACUCAUAGAUGUGUAUCUUGCUCAGCCUUCAUCAGAGACAUUUCCUCCACAAGUAGAUGGAAAUUAAUGCUAACACCUACAAACUGGAUAAUAUUCAGAGUCAAAGACUGGAGUACCUUGUUGUAAAUUGUAUGUCUCUAUCAAGUCCCUUCCCUCAAAUCUUAGGGAACAUUGUGCUAGAGGAAGCAGAAAUAUUGUAAGAGCCAGAGACGUGGAAGACACAAAGGGACAAGAUCUUCUGCACACAGCAACUGAUGUGCAUGUAAACUUACAGAGACUGUGACAGCGUUUACUUGACCUACAAACACCUAAGCCAGACAUGGUCCCAUCAGUGAGAGCAGAGGUGGACAAUUUCCCCAUCACUAACUGAGAAGCUAUCUCUGAUUGACAACAACUAGCAAAGGAAAAAAAAUGCCUUUCUCCAACAGAUCUCACUGGAUAUACAAACCACCUUCAAGGCCAGAACCAGUGCAUAGCAGUAGACAGGCAACAGAAAACAAAUUCAGUGUAUUUGUGGAGGUACUUUGUCACACCAUGCUUUGGGUGGCAUGUUUUUUUAACUUCCUCAGGCCUUUUGCUUAUACAUCAUAUUUUCUGAUUUUUUUUUAUGGGAUUUCUGUGUGAGCAAAUAUGUUCCUGUUUGUGUUUUUUUGUUUCUUCUCCGUUAUUGCUGUUGUUCUUUUUUGUUAUUCCUUUUGACCUCUUUAUUUCUUAAUGAGAGAGAGAAACAAAGGAUGUAGAUUUGAGUGGGCAGGGGCUGGGUGAAUUUGGGAGGAGUUGGUGGAAGGGAAACUGUUACAAUUAAACAACCAGGGAACUCCUACAGCUGAUAAAUACCUUCAGCAAAGUGGCCAGAUACAAAAUUAACUCAAAAAAAUCAGUAGCACUCCUGUAUACAAAAGACAAAAGGACUGAGAAAGAAAUUAGGGAAACAACACCCUUCACAAUAGCCACAAAUGACAUAAAGUACCUUGGUAUAACCCUAACCAAGCAAGUCAAAGACUUGUAUGAAAAAAAAUUUCAAGUCUCGGGAGAAAGAAUUAGAAGAAGAUAUCAGAAGAUGGAAAGAUCUCCCAUGCUCAUGGCUUGGCAGGAUUAACAUAGUAAAAGUGGCCAUCUUACCAAAAGCAAUCUACAGAUUUAAUACAAUCCCCAUCAA
Meriones unguiculatus (Mongolian gerbil) is the source of this 3077-nucleotide long non-coding RNA. RefSeq lists it as uncharacterized. NCBI's taxonomy places the organism in Eukaryota, Metazoa, Chordata, Mammalia, Rodentia, Muridae. The transcript is spliced from 3 exons. The record is from RefSeq and is a predicted model, not a curated record.